Molecule: RNase P RNA, 313 nt
Filed under: Patescibacteria group bacterium
Lineage: Bacteria
Also listed under: 1 other name
Description: RNase P RNA component class A
Rfam family: Bacterial RNase P class A
About the family: Ribonuclease P (RNase P) is a ubiquitous endoribonuclease, found in archaea, bacteria and eukarya as well as chloroplasts and mitochondria. Its best characterised activity is the generation of mature 5'-ends of tRNAs by cleaving the 5'-leader elements of precursor-tRNAs.
Source: RNAcentral
UAAGUAAGCUGAGUGAUCGCUUUACAAUUGUAAAGAGGAAAGUCCGAACUCUCAUUAAAGAGUAGCGGGUAACGCCCGUCGUCCGCGAGGAUAGAGGUGCGAGCAGAGACGUUUUCUUUUGCAAAAAAGAAAAUAUCCCAAGGGAUAAGUCUAAAUGGUAACAUUUAGAGUGAAACGGCUAAAUCCUUACUUGAGAGCAAGAACAAACCUUUGUUUAACAAAGGAAAAAGUAGUUCGCUAAAGGUUUAAAGUAAUUUAAAUCUUAGAUAGAUGAUCACAUAAACAGAAUUCGGCUUAUAGGCUUACUUAACUG